Long non-coding RNA from Austrofundulus limnaeus, 396 nucleotides. RefSeq lists it as uncharacterized. The transcript is spliced from 3 exons. NCBI's taxonomy places the organism in Eukaryota, Metazoa, Chordata, Actinopteri, Cyprinodontiformes, Rivulidae. The record is from RefSeq and is a predicted model, not a curated record.
UCAUCAGAGUUGUGCAUCUUUAUCUAUAUUUUGCCACUGUGGUGUUUUUUUUUUUUUUUUGCAGUGGAACAACACAACAACAUGUAUCCUGCUGUGGUUGGAGCAGCUGUCAGRGGGAUGCUCUUCACAGCCAUUCCUACAGUGCUGCUUCUCAUUUAUAUAUUCCGCAACCGCAGCAACAAUCCCCGACUACAUGCUAUGCUGUUUGGCUCGCUGCACAGCCAGUCCAGAGAAAACAUCAACCACCCAGAGGAUGAACUGGUCAAUUGAAGAGGGUGGGAUCGAGAACGUCGGUGGAUCCUUUGCUCCAGGCAAGACAAACCCAAAUUAAACACAUUAACUGUUUAUCUUCCUGAUACUGAAACACAAUGUUUGUCUUUUCUAGAAGCAACAGAA